UUAGGUGACUGGAACUGUGUAAGGCAAUGGGGAUUGGAGUAAGAAACACUGCCUGGCUAUAAGGAGCUCCCUGCCUAUGGGAAGAGAUAGGCACAGGAACAUUCAUGACAUGAUAAAGGAGAACAAUACAUACAAGGCACUGUAAGAGCACAGGGGAGGGGUAUCCAGGCAAGCCUGAGCUGGCAAGACAAUCAAAGAAAGCCUCCUACAUCUGAGUAUUAAAGAGAUCAUGGGAAAUGAGAUUGUACCAAAUGGGAGCCCCCAGGAUAGAUUAUUAUGCACGUGAUGGAAAGAGGGGCAUCUUGGCAGAAAACACAGUACAGAGUCAGGAGAGCAGCAAGCUAACUGAGGAAUGAUACGCAAUAAAUGGAAAGUGAAAUAUAUAACACAGGAAACUAUUAAAAUGAGAAUGAAGAAGCUGGAUAAAAUGACAGGUGAGACCCCCUUUCAGCUUCCAAAGCUGUGAU
Molecule: long non-coding RNA, 467 nt
Organism: Prionailurus viverrinus (fishing cat)
Lineage: Eukaryota; Metazoa; Chordata; Mammalia; Carnivora; Felidae
Exons: 3
Source: RefSeq, a predicted model, not a curated record